Molecule: long non-coding RNA, 1511 nt
Filed under: Arachis ipaensis
Lineage: Eukaryota; Viridiplantae; Streptophyta; Magnoliopsida; Fabales; Fabaceae
Description: long non-coding RNA (AIPA_LNC002258)
Source: RNAcentral
UAUUCUUGUUCCCUGCAGAAAAUUAGGAUUUUCAGUUAGAUUUGUUGGUCAAAAUAUUAACUAAGUUGUUAGUGUGUUUCUCACAAAUACUAAAUUUCUAUUUGUGGAGUUUUAUAACAAAAUUCUUUAAGUCAUGGAAUACAAAAAAAACAGGGCUAAUAUAUUCGAUGGAGGGUUGGUGGAUUGCCAAAUAAAAUUAGCAAUGUUUAUGUUUACCAAAGAAUUACUUAAUUUUGUUUUCUCAAAUGUGAUAAUGUGAUUCUUCUGCAGUUUAUUUUUUUUUUUUUUUUAUUUGUAAAUUCAUUACUUAGUAAUAAUUGGUUACUUAGUUGUGAUUAUUUGAUUAUAACGUUUAAUUAAUUGGUGUUAGUUUUUUUUUAUGAACUGUGAUAUUACUUCUGCAGUUUGAUCUCAGUUCAAGUGAGAACAUUUAAAUUCCUUUUGAACCUUGAGAUGUGUUUUUCAAAUCUACUACUACUAGUACAUUUCAACAAAGAUGCAUUUGAUAUAGUUUUACCUGGAUUGGAUUCUAGCAGCAACUAAUUUUAUUCUGUUGCAUUAACAAAGUGGUUUUUUUCCAAACCUUACAAUAAAAAUCUAUUUGGUUAACACUUAUAAAUCAGUACUAUGAUAAAACCUUUCUUUUUAUUAUUGUGUUUCUUAAAACUGCCUUCGUUUUUUACCUUCAACUUGGCUGAUUUUUUACUAGCAUGAAAAGUGAUCUAAUGUUGACUUUUUUUGGUAUUUAUUGUGCUGUCUAUUUAUUUUAUAUGUAAUACUAAAUGUAAUCUUAUAACAACUAUUUCAAGGUGUUUUUUACUUAUGCACACACACAGUUUUCAACAUCGUGGACAUGAUUUUUUGGGUGGUGCUAUUUUAUAUGAAUGUUUUCUGCAUGAGAAGUGUUGAACAUUAGUGGUCUGUGAUGUAAAAAUAUAUUAUUACGAAGUUGGCUGAUAUCAUUAGAAGAGGUGAAAUUAAACUUUGUGAAGCUGAAUUUGUUAUUUUAUUAAUUAUGUAUUGGUACAUAGGAUUUUGCUGCAUAUUGGUUAAAAUAGCUUAGGACAAAUUUAGAGUAAUGCACUUGUGCCAUGCUUAUACAGUGCUACUCUGUUAACUCUAAGCAUAUAAAUUUCAGAUUGAAAAAGGCCAAAGGGCUAAAGUGAUAGUGUCCCAAUUCUUAUAUAUAACAAGCUGCUUUAUCAGUGUCUUUUUUCUUCUUUUCAAUUGGCGAAUAGAAGAUACUGUUAGUACAAUAUACAUCUGUGUCACGACACAUGUUUGAAAUGCUCAUCUACAUGAUGCAUGGGCUUCACACACAGCUUGUGCCUUUCUUUCCUCUCAUCAUUUACCAUUUUUAAAUUCCUGUACUAUUGUUAUCAAGUUAGUCAUAAAAUGGGGCUUUUCUUAAAUAAGUAGUUAAUUAAGAACCCAUCUUUAAAUACUCUUUGUUAGCUAGUAAAGAAGAUUUUAUUAUUUUUUGUUAAUUAAACAAAUAUUAUAACUUUAUG